Oryza sativa Japonica Group (Japanese rice) is the source of this 2314-nucleotide non-coding RNA. NCBI's taxonomy places the organism in Eukaryota, Viridiplantae, Streptophyta, Magnoliopsida, Poales, Poaceae. The record is from RefSeq and is a predicted model, not a curated record.
UACAGCCUUCCCGGACUCCGCCUCCGGUUCCGGAUUGUUCUCUGAAGCCGAGCCCUCACAGAGAAGAAACCCUCGGUUCGCGGUCGCCGCUGGCCGGUCGCCACCGGCGAUAACCUCGCCGCCGACGACUCCGCAUCCGCUUCCGCCGCACCCGGUGGGGAAUGGCUUCGGCGGUGGAGCGGAGGGAGCAUUCGCGGAGGUCGGGGCGCUCGAGGUCGCGCUCGCCGGCGAGGGACCGUGGCUCGCCGCCGCGCAGGCGGAGCCCGCCUGCUCGGAGGGAGAGGUCACCGGCUCCGAGGAGUCGCUCGCCUAGGAGGAGGUCUCCUGUUAAGACUACUAGCUCACAUAGGGAGAGGUCGCCUGUUCGGAGGAAUGGCUCACCUAGGAGGUCUCCUGUUAGGAGUAUUGGGAGGUCGCCACAGAGAGAUAGGGUGAAGGAGCAGGUCAGGUCGCCGAAACAAGCUCAGUCACGGUCACGGUCUCCGUCACCUGCCAGGAAACGGGAGUCUCGGUCGCCCUCACCACGGAGCAAACGAUUGAGAAGGGCUCAGAGUGAGCGGGAAGGUGCAGAUGCUACUGAGGGUGACCGUCGGAAGACCACCAGCAGGGAAGAGCGGGACUCGGGGAGGUACAGGGAGCGUGAUGAGGGAAAGGAUGUGUCAAGGGAUAGAAAGACUGAGAGGGAGGAUAGUAGGGGCUCUUUUAAGGACAGGAAACUGGAUCAUGAUGAUGAUAGGGAUCACUCAAGAGAUAGAAGGUCUGAUCGGUCGGGUGCUUCAAGGGAGACAUGGUCAAGCCGAGAUGAUGAAAGGCGUGAUUCAAGGGGUAGAAGGUCUGAUGGGGAUGAUCGAAAAGUCAAUUCCAGGGAGCAAAGGGCAGAUCAUGAUGAUAGAAGGGAUUCUGCAAGAGAGAGAAGGGCAGACCGGGAUGAGAGCAAUGGUGAAUCAGGGAGAUCAUCUAGGCGUGGGCGAUCAGUGUCUCCAGAAGAGCAUAGGCAUAGGGGUAGACGUGAAUCCCGCCAGUCACCGAGGUCAUCUAGAAGUGCAGCACAUGGUGAGGAUACAAGCUCUGUAACAGAUGCAGCGUCACGGAGUGUUGAUCCUGAUUCUUUGGUGAAGAUGAAUGCUACUGCAGAAGCUCUGGAAGCAAAAGAAAAGCAAAAACCAUCAUUUGAAUUGUCUGGAAAGCUUGCUGAGGAGACUAACAGAGUUGCAGGUGUAAAUCUGUUGCAUUCAGAACCUCCAGAGGCUCGCAAGUCAGAUAUUAGAUGGAGACUCUACGUCUUCAAGGGUGGUGAACCACUCGAAGAACCAUUAUAUGUUCACCGGAUGAGCAGCUACCUUUUUGGAAGGGAACGGAAAGUUGCAGACAUCCCCACAGAUCAUCCCUCCUGCAGUAAGCAACAUGCAGUUCUUCAAUAUAGACUUGUAGAGAAGGAGCAGCCAGAUGGCAUGAUGUCAAAGCAAGUGAGGCCUUAUCUGAUGGAUCUUGGUAGUACCAAUGGAACUUUCAUUAAUGAGAAUCGUAUUGAGCCCAGCCGUUAUUAUGAACUCUUUGAAAAGGAUACCAUUAAGUUUGGCAAUAGUAGCCGGGAGUAUGUUUUGCUUCAUGAAAACUCGAAAGAUUGAGGAUUGAAAUUGCUGGAAACUUUGCUCCAUUGUUACCUGAGAUUUUGACGUCCCUCUGCUGCUUGUUGUUUGUACUAUGGUUUCAGUCGCCUGAAUAUUUUUCAAGAAUGCCUGAAGGAACAUGGCAGAGGCCGGAGAAGCCUACUCCUCCCAUCCACAUCUUCGUGCGUCGGCGUGGCGGAGCAGCGUCAGCACGGAUGACGGUGGUGCGCUGGUGAGGCCGUCGCCGUACAUCCCGCCGUCGCCGAAGCACCCAGCGCCGCAUCAACACGGCGGAGGUGGCGCGCCGCCGCCGAUGUGGCGGCCGGUUGCUGUUGCUCCGCCGUUGGCAGGACACGAUGAUGGCCAACCUGCACCGCGACAGCGUCCCCCAAGCCCGGCAGUAUACACGGUUUAGACGUUUAGUUAUUUGUUGUAACCUUGAUGUUACAAGGUAGUCACUGCCAUUCGUGUGAUUGGAAUGCCGUUUUGUUUGGGAAAUUUGAGAGCCAUCGGGUGAGAAUACGAAAAACAAGCUAAAUUCUACUUAUUCUUAGGGCCUGUUUGGGGGAGUUUUUAGCUACUGCAGCUUCUCCCAGAAUCAGAAGCUCCCCUAAACAGUCUAGCUUUUGGUCUAAAUUAUAAGAAGCUGUAGUUGUAGAAUCCAGAAAAUAAAAAGCUAGAAGCUGGGAAACCCAGUUUUUUCA